This is a long non-coding RNA of Peromyscus leucopus (white-footed mouse), 669 nucleotides long. RefSeq lists it as uncharacterized. The transcript has 2 exons. NCBI's taxonomy places the organism in Eukaryota, Metazoa, Chordata, Mammalia, Rodentia, Cricetidae. The record is from RefSeq and is a predicted model, not a curated record.
CAUCAGUCAGUACUAUGACGUAGUAUAGAUACCGGAAGGGCUUUCGGAGGAUACCCUGGAUCCUGGUGGCUUAGAUCAGACCCAGAAAUUCUUGGAUGCCCCUGCAGGCACACACAGACGCCCGCAGAGCGGAGAGAUCCUGGAGUGAGGAUCAGAACGAGAGGAAGAGGCUGGGGCCAAACGGAGCUCAUGGCGCAAACCCUAAGGUAUAGGUCAAGAACCCCAGAAAGGAGCAGCUGAGUCGUUCUCACGGGAGCUCUUGCUGGCAUCUGCAGUAAAGCGAGAGAUGGGGUUGCAUUGGCCGGCGGCGGCUGGGAGGUGAGGUCGAGUUGUUGACAACAGACUCUGUGCGUGGCCUGGCCUGACAGUGUGAGCGUCCUCACAACCCGGACGUUUCCGGUUGCUGGACUUGCCUGGUAACUCAAAGGAGAACAAGGCAGAAUCCGGACCUCAGAUUUUGGGCCCACAUUCUACCGGAAACAAACAAGGCACAAAUCUGCCCACGUACAGGAAGAUGGUGGGAUACGGAAACAUUCAUAACUACUUUUUAAGAUGCCUCAGCACUUCUAAAGAACUUAUCAAGUAUAGUUAUACUUGUGUUAACUACACAUGUGGCCAGUAGGAGAAAAAAAAAGACACAAAUAAAAAUUUAAGCAAUUUUCUCUUGAA